RNAcentral lists this ribosomal RNA (1350 nucleotides) under uncultured bacterium. RNAcentral describes it as "bacterial SSU rRNA". It matches the Rfam family "Bacterial small subunit ribosomal RNA", at positions 28 to 1381 of the family's 1533-position model. The record is from RNAcentral.
AUUGAACGCUGGCGGCAUGCUUUACACAUGCAAGUCGAACGGCAGCGCGGGGCAACCUGGCGGCGAGUGGCGAACGGGUGAGUAAUAUAUCGGAACGUACCCAAGAGUGGGGGAUAACGUAGCGAAAGUUACGCUAAUACCGCAUACGAUCUGAGGAUGAAAGUGGGGGAUCGCAAGACCUCAUGCUCCUGGAGCGGCCGAUAUCUGAUUAGCUAGUUGGUGAGGUAAAGGCUCACCAAGGCGACGAUCAGUAGCUGGUCUGAGAGGACGACCAGCCACACUGGAACUGAGACACGGUCCAGACUCCUACGGGAGGCAGCAGUGGGGAAUUUUGGACAAUGGGCGCAAGCCUGAUCCAGCAAUGCCGCGUGAGUGAAGAAGGCCUUCGGGUUGUAAAGCUCUUUUGUCAGGGAAGAAACGGUAGAGGCUAAUAUCCUUUGCUAAUGACGGUACCUGAAGAAUAAGCACCGGCUAACUACGUGCCAGCAGCCGCGGUAAUACGUAGGGUGCAAGCGUUAAUCGGAAUUACUGGGCGUAAAGCGUGCGCAGGCGGUUUUGUAAGUCUGUCGUGAAAGCCCCGGGCUCAACCUGGGAAUUGCGAUGGAGACUGCAAGGCUUGAAUCUGGCAGAGGGGGGUAGAAUUCCACGUGUAGCAGUGAAAUGCGUAGAGAUGUGGAGGAACACCGAUGGCGAAGGCAGCCCCCUGGGUCAAGAUUGACGCUCAUGCACGAAAGCGUGGGGAGCAAACAGGAUUAGAUACCCUGGUAGUCCACGCCCUAAACGAUGUCUACUAGUUGUCGGGUUUUAAUUAACUUGGUAACGCAGCUAACGCGUGAAGUAGACCGCCUGGGGAGUACGGUCGCAAGAUUAAAACUCAAAGGAAUUGACGGGGACCCGCACAAGCGGUGGAUGAUGUGGAUUAAUUCGAUGCAACGCGAAAAACCUUACCUACCCUUGACAUGUCAGGAAGUCCGGAGAGAUCUGGAUGUGCCCGAAAGGGAGCCUGAACACAGGUGCUGCAUGGCUGUCGUCAGCUCGUGUCGUGAGAUGUUGGGUUAAGUCCCGCAACGAGCGCAACCCUUGUCAUUAGUUGCUACGCAAGAGCACUCUAAUGAGACUGCCGGUGACAAACCGGAGGAAGGUGGGGAUGACGUCAAGUCCUCAUGGCCCUUAUGGGUAGGGCUUCACACGUCAUACAAUGGUACAUACAGAGGGCCGCCAACCCGCGAGGGGGAGCUAAUCCCAGAAAGUGUAUCGUAGUCCGGAUCGCAGUCUGCAACUCGACUGCGUGAAGUUGGAAUCGCUAGUAAUCGCGGAUCAGCAUGUCGCGGUGAAUACGUUCCCGGGUCU